AACGAACGCUGGCGGCAGGCCUAACACAUGCAAGUCGAGCGAGGACUUCGGUCCUAGCGGCGGACGGGUGAGUAACGCGUGGGAACGUGCCCUUUGCUUCGGAAUAGCUCUGGGAAACUGGGAGUAAUACCGGAUGAGCCCUUAGGGGGAAAGAUUUAUCGGCGAAGGAUCGGCCCGCGUUGGAUUAGGUAGUUGGUGGGGUAAUGGCCUACCAAGCCGACGAUCCAUAGCUGGUUUGAGAGGAUGAUCAGCCACACUGGGACUGAGACACGGCCCAGACUCCUACGGGAGGCAGCAGUGGGGAAUCUUAGACAAUGGGGGAAACCCUGAUCGAGCCAUGCCGCGUGAGCGAUGAAGGCCUUAGGGUUGUAAAGCUCUUUCAGCUGGGAAGAUAAUGACGGUACCAGCAGAAGAAGCCCCGGCUAACUCCGUG
This 433-nucleotide ribosomal RNA is filed under the name uncultured bacterium. RNAcentral's name for it is "partial 16S ribosomal RNA". It matches the Rfam family "Bacterial small subunit ribosomal RNA", at positions 29 to 507 of the family's 1533-position model. The record is from RNAcentral.